GACGAACGCUGGCGGCGCGCUUAACACAUGCAAGUCGAACGGAAAGGCCUGCUUUCCCUUGUGGAUUGCGGGUACUCGAGUGGCGAACGGGUGAGUAACACGUGAGUGAUCUGCCCCCAACUUGGGUAUAAGCCUGGGAAACUGGGUCUAAUUCCCGAUAGGACUGCAGGGUGGUGCCUGUGGUGGAAAACGAUUUUCUAGUGGUUGGGGAUGAGCUCGCGGCCUAUCAGCUUGUUGGUGGGGUAAUGGCCUACCAAGGCGGCGACGGGUAGCCGGCCUGAGAGGGUGGACGGCCACAUUGGGACUGAGAUACGGCCCAGACUCCUACGGGAGGCAGCAGUGGGGAAUAUUGCACAAUGGGCGGAAGCCUGAUGCAGCGACGCCGCGUGGGGGAUGACGGCCUUCGGGUUGUAAACUCCUUGCGACCGCGAGGAAGCCACCUGGUUGGAAGGGUGGUGACGGUAGUGGUAGAAGAAGCACCGGCUAACUACGUG
This 494-nucleotide ribosomal RNA is filed under the name uncultured bacterium. RNAcentral describes it as "partial 16S ribosomal RNA". It matches the Rfam family "Bacterial small subunit ribosomal RNA", at positions 28 to 507 of the family's 1533-position model. The record is from RNAcentral.